RNAcentral lists this ribosomal RNA (1173 nucleotides) under Bacillus velezensis. RNAcentral describes it as "bacterial SSU rRNA". It matches the Rfam family "Bacterial small subunit ribosomal RNA", at positions 131 to 1290 of the family's 1533-position model. The record is from RNAcentral. Lineage: Bacteria; Bacillati; Bacillota; Bacilli; Caryophanales; Bacillaceae.
UGUAAGACUGGGAUAACUCCGGGAAACCGGGGCUAAUACCGGAUGGUUGUUUGAACCGCAUGGUUCAGACAUAAAAGGUGGCUUCGGCUACCACUUACGGAUGGACCCGCGGCGCAUUAGCUAGUUGGUGAGGUAACGGCUCACCAAGGCGACGAUGCGUAGCCGACCUGAGAGGGUGAUCGGCCACACUGGGACUGAGACACGGCCCAGACUCCUACGGGAGGCAGCAGUAGGGAAUCUUCCGCAAUGGACGAAAGUCUGACGGAGCAACGCCGCGUGAGUGAUGAAGGUUUUCGGAUCGUAAAGCUCUGUUGUUAGGGAAGAACAAGUGCCGUUCAAAUAGGGCGGCACCUUGACGGUACCUAACCAGAAAGCCACGGCUAACUACGUGCCAGCAGCCGCGGUAAUACGUAGGUGGCAAGCGUUGUCCGGAAUUAUUGGGCGUAAAGGGCUCGCAGGCGGUUUCUUAAGUCUGAUGUGAAAGCCCCCGGCUCAACCGGGGAGGGUCAUUGGAAACUGGGGAACUUGAGUGCAGAAGAGGAGAGUGGAAUUCCACGUGUAGCGGUGAAAUGCGUAGAGAUGUGGAGGAACACCAGUGGCGAAGGCGACUCUCUGGUCUGUAACUGACGCUGAGGAGCGAAAGCGUGGGGAGCGAACAGGAUUAGAUACCCUGGUAGUCCACGCCGUAAACGAUGAGUGCUAAGUGUUAGGGGGUUUCCGCCCCUUAGUGCUGCAGCUAACGCAUUAAGCACUCCGCCUGGGGAGUACGGUCGCAAGACUGAAACUCAAAGGAAUUGACGGGGGCCCGCACAAGCGGUGGAGCAUGUGGUUUAAUUCGAAGCAACGCGAAGAACCUUACCAGGUCUUGACAUCCUCUGACAAUCCUAGAGAUAGGACGUCCCCUUCGGGGGCAGAGUGACAGGUGGUGCAUGGUUGUCGUCAGCUCGUGUCGUGAGAUGUUGGGUUAAGUCCCGCAACGAGCGCAACCCUUGAUCUUAGUUGCCAGCAUUCAGUUGGGCACUCUAAGGUGACUGCCGGUGACAAACCGGAGGAAGGUGGGGAUGACGUCAAAUCAUCAUGCCCCUUAUGACCUGGGCUACACACGUGCUACAAUGGACAGAACAAAGGGCAGCGAAACCGCGAGGUUAAGCCAAUCCCACAAAUCUGUUCUCA